This is a long non-coding RNA of Actinia tenebrosa (Australian red waratah sea anemone), 391 nucleotides long. NCBI's taxonomy places the organism in Eukaryota, Metazoa, Cnidaria, Anthozoa, Actiniaria, Actiniidae. The record is from RefSeq and is a predicted model, not a curated record.
ACAAAAUAAUAAUUACGAAUUAGACUAGAUUAAAAUACUUAUUUUUGUAUUCUUUAGUUUCCAGUGCUUCGAGUUGGUAAAAGGUGCAAUUUACCAAUAAAGAGCCAAACGAUUGUGAAGAUCUUGGAGGAGAAUGUAGUGGAUGCCGAGGAUCUAUUGGGUAUGGAAGAGACAUGGCUUACGUUUCGAGCAAGGUUGCGCUUUUCUACCAAGGAUGACAAGGUAUCGGUGGAGAUAGUUCGCUUCCACUCAACCAAGAAGGACACCUCGGACUGGAGAAUGGAUACUGCUUCAGCCACUACUGGUAACCAGUGGUUCUCCAUCAAAGGCCGAUGGGUUGGUAAACCUCUUUCAUUUGAAUUUGCUCAAACAGACUCCAAGAUGAUUACUG